ACCAAUCCGGCACGGCGGUUAGGGCGACAAGAUCCUCGCAGUCACCUUCCAUUCCCUUUAAUCGUGCAAGCUCCGCAUCCACAGUCAGGCCCCCAUCCUUGAGCUCGUUCAGGAGAUCGAUGUUGGCGGUCACUUCUUGUAUCCAGAUCUCAGCAGACACUUCCUUCUUCUUGCUCGCCCACCUAUCAUUCAAAGACUCAAGAACUUCCCGAUACUUUGUCG
This 222-nucleotide long non-coding RNA is filed under the name Brassica napus (rape). RNAcentral's name for it is "long non-coding RNA (BNAP_LNC015672)". The record is from RNAcentral. Lineage: Eukaryota; Viridiplantae; Streptophyta; Magnoliopsida; Brassicales; Brassicaceae.